UUUGACAUGUACGGAAUUUGCCAGAGAUGGCUUAGUGCUCGAAAGAGAACCGUAACACAGGUGCUGCAUGGCUGUCGUCAGCUCGUGUCGUGAGAUGUUGGGUUAAGUCCCGCAACGAGCGCAACCCUUGUCAUUAGUUGCUACAUUCAGUUGGGCACUCUAGUGAGACUGCCGGUGACAAACCGGAGGAAGGUGGGGAUGACGUCAAGUCCUCAUGGCCCUUAUAGGUGG
Molecule: ribosomal RNA, 231 nt
Filed under: uncultured beta proteobacterium
Lineage: Bacteria; Pseudomonadati; Pseudomonadota; Betaproteobacteria
Description: partial 16S ribosomal RNA
Rfam family: Bacterial small subunit ribosomal RNA
Source: RNAcentral